RNAcentral lists this ribosomal RNA (497 nucleotides) under uncultured bacterium. RNAcentral describes it as "partial 16S ribosomal RNA". It matches the Rfam family "Bacterial small subunit ribosomal RNA", at positions 28 to 507 of the family's 1533-position model. The record is from RNAcentral.
GAUGAACGCUGGCGGCGUGCCUAAUACAUGCAAGUCGAGCGAACAGACGAGGAGCUUGCUCCUCUGACGUUAGCGGCGGACGGGUGAGUAACACGUGGAUAACCUACCUAUAAGACUGGGAUAACUUCGGGAAACCGGAGCUAAUACCGGAUAAUAUCUUGAACCGCAUGGUUCAAUAGUGAAAGACGGUUUUGCUGUCACUUAUAGAUGGCUCCGCGCCGCAUUAGCUAGUUGGUAAGGUAACGGCUUACCAAGGCAACGCUGCGUAGCCGACCUGAGAGGGGGAUCGGCCAAACUGGAACUGAGACACGGUCCAGACUCCUACGGGAGGCAGCAGUAGGGAAUCUUCCGCAAUGGGCGAAAGCCUGACGGAGCAACGCCGCGUGAGUGAUGAAGGUCUUCGGAUCGUAAAACUCUGUUAUUAGGGAAGAACAAAUGUGUAAGUAACUAUGCACGUCUUGACGGUACCUAAUCAGAAAGCCACGGCUAACUACGUG